UGCCUCUUCUUGAGGGAUCACAUGAUUUUGUCUCAGUUGUGUAGAGCCGUUGCCCUUAUCUUAGGGGACUGAGAUUUUUCUAUUUUGAGUUUCUUGUUUUUUUGUUUCAAUACUAUGACUUUGUGGGGUGUUGUCAAUGCACUCAUCAAGGGGGAGAUUGAGGACCAAUGGUGGUCACCCUUGGAUGAUGAGUGAUUGACAACGUUGUGUUGGUAUGAUGUUGCUCUUGGCUUGUGAUGUGCAGGUGUAGGAUGCGACGUGGCGGUCGACGGCGUGCGGUGAAGGUCAAGCGAAAGGUUCAUGCCGAUGGACCAAGGGCGGUGAAGGAUGAACGCGAGUAGGCUUGGACCGAUGGACCCGAGGAGUCCGGGCGAAGUCACGGGCGGUCCACAUGGUGCACGGAAUGGCGAGAGGGCAUGACAGAAUGAGACGGCGUCGGUCGAGUCAAGCGGGAGGCUUGGCGGAGGCCGGACACGCGUCAAUGGACGGUUUGGGUGGUUUGGGCCUCAAAACCACCGCGCAGGCAGGUUUCCCGGUUUGGGCCUCAAAACCGGGGGCGAGCCCGGUGCGGCCGGAGCUUCGAGAAGGAGGGCACGUGGCGUCAUCGCGAAGCUUGCGUCGAGGCGAAGCAAAGUCGUGAAGGCGGCGUGUCCGUCCGAUGCACAUAUAAAAACUUGGACCAAAAUGCCCCUGCGUGGGUAGUUAUCUUAGUUGUAGCUGUAAGGGUAGUAUAGUCUUUCGUCCUGGACUAUAAAUAGGGAUGGGGGGCUGGUUAUUUCAGCACCUCUUUGCUUAGCAACUCAUUAUCUAUUUGCUUAUAGGCUAGUCAUGUGCUAAAAGUGAGAGGAGAGAGGGGGAUUAGAGAGUGAUUACUCUUUUCUCUUAAUUUCUUCAUCUUUAGUGGGUGGAUGAAGGGAGGAGGCUAGUCCUCAUCUUGUAUAGAAGAUGUUCUCGUGAUUUAGCUUUGUUUGUUGUCUCAAAUCGUGCUAAAUCUUUGAUUCCCGAGCGUUUUUCUUUUUCCCUAUUUUCGGAACUAUUUUUGGGGAAUUUUCGUUCAUCAUGUUUGAGCCCGAAUCUCGUGAGAUUGGUUGAAGGGAAAUGUUGCUAGAACCUUGGAGAGCAUCUUUGAUAUGAUCCCCUUUUCAAAUCCCUCACGAAUCCGGCUUGAUUUUGAGUUUUUCCCAAAUCGUGUUCUUGAGUUAGGGUUUCGGUUUUCUCCAAAAUUAGUGAUGAAUUAUUGAGCUUUUCAGGAUUAGUUUCAUGGAUCUAUUUGCCCUUGGGGUAUUGCAUCCUUGUUUCAGAUUUCAUCUCGAUCCGCGAAGUAUAGGAAGAGAUCUUACGAAUUGAAGUUUGGUUCUAGUUCUUGGUGUUCUUCGUUUUCUUUCUGUUCUCCAGGUCGAUCCGACGAACCGGUGGCGGCGCACGCACGGAGCCGCGUGCGAGCCUGGCCAGCAGGCCGAGGGAGCACAGCAGGCCCACAAGCCAGCGGCAGGUCGCAGUCCACCGGGAGGAGCAAGCUGAACCAGCCCACACCGCAACCCAGGCCUGCUGCCACGCACGGCCCAGGAGGAUUCAACCGGCAGGCGGGCCGUGAAGCAGCAGCCUAGCAGGAGCAGAUCAAGGCUAGCAGCCCAUCCGAUCAGCUGUAGGAAGCCAGCUUUUCGACCCAGCUCGUGAAGCUCAGUUUGCAAGCCAGCAGGCCAACAAGUUGCGGCCCAAGCUUCCCUGCAGGCCUAGCACCAGAUUAGCUAGCGUAGCAAAGCAAGUGGUCCACUGUAAGCAAUUCUUUUGUGCGAGUCAUUUAUUUUAAUACAUUGCUAAUUAAUUGUUGUCUGGUUGUUUAGAUAUUUAAUUAGCACCUUCCUUUGCUAAUCCUCGUAUGUUAGAAAAGUAUCUUUAUUUAAUAGUUGCAUGAUCAGAUAAAGUGAGGUUUGCUUGUGGUCAGUAGUGUCUUUGCUUAAUCUCAUUUGCGCAAAGUUGAUGGAGUCGAUUCAUGAUUUGUUUCCGCUGUGAAUUGAAUAUUUCUUAUCGUUCCUAGGGUGAGCCUGUCACGAGUUGACUUGCGUCAUCUUGACGAUACAACGCGCAGUGUGCUUUGGGGUUGCGUUUGGGACAUAGGCCUUGUUCUUGUUAAGAAUUUUUAUAGGCUCCCAUUCACCCCCCCUCUGGUCGCCCUUUCGGUCCUUCACUUCAGCAAUCAGGUAGGUGACCAUUCCCAUUGACGUGGUAAGCAAAUUUUUCACAACGUAGCUUUUACAACUCAGGGUCUGCAAAGGCUGAAGAAUCUUAUUAGGAAGAGGAGGCAUCGAGAGUGAUGGGCUCACUUCCUCUCCUAGUAGUUUUGCGGCAAAUAUGGGAACAGCUGCUGCUUUUCAUUGCGUGCCGUCUGAUGGAGAACCAGAGGCGAGAGGCACCAAGGCUGCUGCAGCAUGAAGAGGCAGAUCCGGAUGAAGAGGAGGACGCUGAGCGCAACGCCUGAUUAGAGCUGGUCAAGAUGUAAAAAGCUCUUUUCCUGGAGAGGAUGAGAGGGAGUCUGAAGUUUGCUACUACUUGUCUAAUACUCUGUAGUUGCUUCCGAGGCGGACUCUUAAUCUGAAAACAUUAGUUUCCUCUCUACGCGAGGUCGUUUGACUAGGUGUUUUUAGCUCGAACCAGGUGAGAUCACUUAGGCGCUCCGUUUUCUCCUCCUACUGUGAUGUAACUAAACUCUGAAAUUUCUGUUCAUGCAAUGGGAAUGG
This 2738-nucleotide long non-coding RNA is filed under the name Setaria italica (foxtail millet). RNAcentral describes it as "long non-coding RNA (SITA_LNC005158)". The record is from RNAcentral. Lineage: Eukaryota; Viridiplantae; Streptophyta; Magnoliopsida; Poales; Poaceae.